This 76-nucleotide transfer RNA is filed under the name Gammaproteobacteria bacterium. RNAcentral's name for it is "tRNA-Glu". It matches the Rfam family "tRNA". From Rfam's summary of the family: Transfer RNA (tRNA) molecules are approximately 80 nucleotides in length. Their secondary structure includes four short double-helical elements and three loops (D, anti-codon, and T loops). Lineage: Bacteria; Pseudomonadati; Pseudomonadota; Gammaproteobacteria. The record is from RNAcentral. RNAcentral also lists the same sequence under 1 other name.
GUCCCCAUCGUCUAGAGGCCUAGGACAUCGCCCUUUCACGGCGGCAACGGGGGUUCGAAUCCCCCUGGGGACGCCA